Molecule: ribosomal RNA, 484 nt
Filed under: uncultured bacterium
Lineage: Bacteria
Description: partial 16S ribosomal RNA
Rfam family: Bacterial small subunit ribosomal RNA
Source: RNAcentral
AGUGAACGCUGGCGGCGUGCUUAACACAUGCAAGUCGAACGAAAACGGGCUAUAGCUUGCUAUAGUUGUCAGCUAAGUGGCGCACUGGUGAGUAAUGUAUAGGUAAUAUGCCUCUUACUAAGGGAUAACAAAUGGAAACGUUUGCUAAUACCUUAUACUCCUUAUUAACAGAAGUUAAUAAGGGAAAGAUUUAUUGGUAAGAGAUUAGCCUGUAUUGUAUCAGUUAGUUGGUGGGGUAAUGGCUUACCAAGACUAUGACACAUAACUGGUUUGAGGGGAGGAGCAGCCAAACUGGAACAGGGACACGUACAGGACUCGUACGGGAGGAAGCAGGGGGGAAUAUUGCACAAUGAACGAAAGUCUGAUGCAGCAACGCCGCGUGGAGGAUGACACAUUUCGGUUCGUAAACUCCUUUUAUAUGAGAAGAUAAUGACGGUAUUAUAUGAAUAAGCCCCGGUUAACUCCGUGCCAGCCGCCGCCGUAA